This 674-nucleotide ribosomal RNA is filed under the name Phellinus castanopsidis. Its description in RNAcentral is "eukaryotic LSU rRNA". The stretch from base 263 to 416 matches the Rfam family "5.8S ribosomal RNA". Lineage: Eukaryota; Fungi; Basidiomycota; Agaricomycetes; Hymenochaetales; Hymenochaetaceae. The record is from RNAcentral.
UGAGUAAAUGUACAGGUUCGUAGGAACUGCGAAGGAUCAUAAUGAGUUUUUGAAGCAGGGAGCUGUUGCUGGCGUUGCUUUGCGCGCGCAUAUAUGUGCACGGCUUCCAUGCUUCCUCAAUCCACUCAACCCUGUGCAUUUAUGGGAGUUAGUAGUCGGCGGUGGUCUGUACUACUUGUCGGCGAACACUUCAAUAUAUACAAAACCCAUACUAUUGUUAUGUUGAAUGUAAUAGCUCCUUGUGGGCGAAAUAUCAAAAUACAACUUUCAACAACGGAUCUCUUGGCUCUCGCAUCGAUGAAGAACGCAGCGAAAUGCGAUAAGUAAUGUGAAUUGCAGAAUUCAGUGAAUCAUCGAAUCUUUGAACGCACCUUGCGCCCCUUGGUAUUCCGAGGGGCAUGCCUGUUUGAGUGUCAUGUUCAUCUCAACUUCCUUGUCUUUUUUAUUAAGGCUUGGGUGUUGGACUUGGAGGUUGUAUGUGCUGGCCCCAGUAGUGGUGGUCGGCUCCUCUUAAAUGCAUUAGCUGGGCUUUGGCUCGCGUUGACGGUGUAAUAGGAAUUAGUUCUAUCUAAACACAUUCACCCUUGCGCUUGCCUAGAGGGUCUGCUUCUAAUUGUCUUUUGGACAAAUUUUUUCUUGACUCCUGACCUCAAAUCAGUUAGAUUACAUUUGGU